Molecule: ribosomal RNA, 497 nt
Filed under: uncultured bacterium
Lineage: Bacteria
Description: partial 16S ribosomal RNA
Rfam family: Bacterial small subunit ribosomal RNA
Source: RNAcentral
GAUGAACGCUGGCGGCGUGCCUAAUACAUGCAAGUCGAGCGAACAGACGAGGAGCUUGCUCCUCUGACGUUAGCGGCGGACGGGUGAGUAACACGUGGAUAACCUACCUAUAAAACUGGGAUAACUUCGGGAAACCGGAGCUAAUACCGGAUAAUAUAUUGAACCGCAUGGUUCAAUAGUGAAAGACGGUUUUGCUGUCACUUAUAGAUGGAUCCGCGCCGCAUUAGCUAGUUGGUAAGGUAACGGCUUACCAAGGCAACGAUGCGUAGCCGACCUGAGAGGGUGAUCGGCCACACUGGAACUGAGACACGGUCCAGACUCCUACGGGAGGCAGCAGUAGGGAAUCUUCCGCAAUGGGCGAAAGCCUGACGGAGCAACGCCGCGUGAGUGAUGAAGGUCUUCGGAUCGUAAAACUCUGUUAUUAGGGAAGAACAAAUGUGUAAGUAACUAUGCACGUCUUGACGGUACCUAAUCAGAAAGCCACAGCUAACUACGUG